CAUGCAGUCGAACGAAGGCUUCGGCCUUAGUGGCGCACGGGUGCGUAACGCGUGGGAAUCUGCCCCUUGGUUCGGAAUAACAGUUGGAAACGACUGCUAAUACCGGAUGACGACGUAAGUCCAAAGAUUUAUCGCCGAGGGAUGAGCCCGCGUAGGAUUAGGUAGUUGGUGUGGUAAAGGCGCACCAAGCCGACGAUCCUUAGCUGGUCUGAGAGGAUGAUCAGCCACACUGGGACUGAGACACGGCCCAGACUCCUACGGGAGGCAGCAGUGGGGAAUAUUGGACAAUGGGCGAAAGCCUGAUCCAGCAAUGCCGCGUGAGUGAUGAAGGCCUUAGGGUUGUAAAGCUCUUUUACCCGGGAUGAUAAUGACAGUACCGGGAGAAUAAGCUCCGGCUAACUCCGUGCCAGCAGCCGCGGUAAUACGGAGGGAGCUAGCGUUAUUCGGAAUUACUGGGCGUAAAGCGCACGUAGGCGGCUUUGUAAGUAAGAGGUGAAA
This 498-nucleotide ribosomal RNA is filed under the name uncultured Sphingomonas sp. RNAcentral's name for it is "bacterial SSU rRNA". It matches the Rfam family "Bacterial small subunit ribosomal RNA", at positions 54 to 599 of the family's 1533-position model. Lineage: Bacteria; Pseudomonadati; Pseudomonadota; Alphaproteobacteria; Sphingomonadales; Sphingomonadaceae. The record is from RNAcentral.